AGUCACUGACAUUAGAUACCCCUGUAGUCCAGGGUGUAAACGCUGCAGACUUGGUGUUGGGAACCCUUCGGGGGUGCUCAGUGCCGGAGAGAAGUUGUUAAGUCUGCUACUUGGGAGUACGUCCGCAAGGAUGAAACUUAAAGGAAUUGGCGGGGGAGCACCGCAACGGGAGGAGCGUGCGGUUUAAUUGGAUUCAACGCCGAAAAACCCACCAGCAGCGACUGUUACAUGAAAGUCAGGUUGAUGACCUUACUAGAUUUUCAG
This 264-nucleotide ribosomal RNA is filed under the name uncultured archaeon. Its description in RNAcentral is "partial 16S ribosomal RNA". It matches the Rfam family "Archaeal small subunit ribosomal RNA", at positions 718 to 982 of the family's 1478-position model. The record is from RNAcentral.